AGGAAGGUUGUGGCUCAGAGGU
Molecule: microRNA, 22 nt
Filed under: Bovine leukemia virus
Lineage: Riboviria; Pararnavirae; Artverviricota; Revtraviricetes; Ortervirales; Retroviridae
Description: blv-miR-B5-5p
Gene: blv-miR-B5-5p
Source: miRBase by way of RNAcentral